RNAcentral lists this long non-coding RNA (696 nucleotides) under Helianthus annuus (common sunflower). Its description in RNAcentral is "hypothetical non coding rna". Lineage: Eukaryota; Viridiplantae; Streptophyta; Magnoliopsida; Asterales; Asteraceae. The record is from RNAcentral.
GUUGGUGUUCUAACCAAUAAUCACUCAAUCGCUAUUACGAUUCAUUUUUCGAGUGAUCAAUAUAUCCAAAGAAUGCCUAAGUGCCGCCCACAUUGGGCUAUGCUUUAUCGUUUGUCGGUAAUCCGAUAAAUGAGCCGAAGCAUUGUACUUUGUCGUUGUCGAUAAUUCGAUACACGAGUUGAAGUACUAUACUUUGUCGUUUGUCAUUUUGAUAAAUGAGUUGAAGUAUUGCACUUGGUCAUUCAUUGUGAGAAUUUGAUCUCGGGAAAUUAUCGUAACUGCUGUAUUGAUCAUUAACCCGGUUUUUUGUGAAAUUCGUUAAGGUUCGAAUCUCAUGACUACCGUUAAGGUUUGAUUUGGGUUUUACACCAAUACGUAUUCUAUUCUGUUAAACCACCAAAAACACUCCCAACUACACCCUUACAAUCAAACAAACUAUUAAAUCAUCAGAAGAUCCAGAAUAAUAAAGUACAAGCUUAAUUAUCGGGAAAAGUAGAAUCAAGAAGUUUGUUAACUCAAUCCUGCAUGAUGAUUUGUAAUUACAAUAGAUUGGAGUAAGGAUUGGAUCCGACACUAAAAGACUUCAAGAAGUGGCUUAUUUUAUUAAUUAAAUCAACUUAAGAAAUAUUGUUUUCAUUAAAAGCUACCUUUGUAAAACUUGGAAUUUAGUCCAUCCAUUUAAAUAAAAUCCGGUGU